This 255-nucleotide ribosomal RNA is filed under the name uncultured bacterium. RNAcentral describes it as "partial 16S ribosomal RNA". It matches the Rfam family "Bacterial small subunit ribosomal RNA", at positions 524 to 777 of the family's 1533-position model. The record is from RNAcentral.
UACGGGGGGAGCAAGCGUUGUUCGGAUUUACUGGGCGUAAAGGGCGCGUAGGCGGUCGUGACAAGUCACUUGUGAAAUCUCCGGGCUUAACUCGGAACGGUCAAGUGAUACUGUCGGACUAGAGUACAGAAGGGGCAACUGGAAUUCUCGGUGUAGCGGUGAAAUGCGUAGAUAUCGAGAGGAACACCUGCGGCGAAGGCGGGUUGCUGGGCUGAUACUGACGCUGAGGCGCGAAAGCCAGGGGAGCGAACGGGG